AAUAGACCAGUGGGAGAAACAGGGUGGUCCACUGAAAUACAGGAAAGGAGGCAACGCCCGGCUCCAGCCCCAAGAGACCCAAGCAUCUUCCCAGCCCGCAGGGAGAGGCACCUGGGCGCAGAGGAAAGGGCCCCAAGCCUCCGCGAAGGAAAGGAAAGGGCGGCCGGCUCGUCCCUGGUUGCGGUCCCCACCCGGCGGCGCGGGGGAGGCCUUCCCGGCAGAUCGCCUGUCACUUACGGGCGGCACCUCCAGGCAGAGCCGGGCAGAGCAGGGCCAGCGGGCCAGCGGGUGGCGGAGUUUGCUGACUCAAAGGCGCGGCGGCGGCGGCGGCGAGCGCUUAGGAGCGCACACGAGAGCAGCCCCGCGCUCCCCGUGCACGUAGCGGCCCCGCGCCCGCGCUCCACGCCUGCUCUCGCGGCCACCGCACCGCCCAACCCAGGUACGGCCCCGCGGGGGCCUGCCCCGCCCUGCCGCGGACCUGCAAGCUGCCCUCUGCCCCCGGGCUGGGGAGAGCUGUGCGGCCGCUGGGGGGCGCCACUUGAAAGCUACCAGGAGCUUGCAAACCCCGCCCCGCCCCCUUAGUUACUUACGGAGAGGAUGGUUGAAUGGGAAGAGUGAUGGACUGAUAAUGGUACAAUGUCAAUGGUAGAACCUAGGUGGUGGGCAUAUGGGUGUUUACUGAAAAAUUCUUUCAACUUUUCUGUAUGUUUGAAUUUUUUCACAAGACAUCCUGGGAGGAAAGAAAUGAGGUCUGUCAAGGUGGCUGAAUCAGUAAACCGUUUUCCAAGUGACAUUUUGGGUUGCAUCUGACCCACUUGUUCUCGUGGAAAGCCGCAAUAAUCACUUAAACCGCUAAUGGGUGACUACAUGAAAGAAUAAUAAAGGCAGUGUUUUAAAAAAUCCAUUGAGUAAAUGUUAAAGAUUUUACUGGUUUUAUUCAAAGAUUCAUGAUUAGUCGGCAUCCAAUUUAGUAGAUAGGAAGAAGCGCUAAGGAGUUGUACAAAAUAAAAGGCUCUUAUAGACAUAAAGUGGGGAGACAAGGAAGUCAUCCUAGCAAAAAUCGGAUUGGUCAUGGCAAGAUCACUUUUCUCUAGGAGAAGAUAGGGGUCUAUCAGGGAGACAGUCACACUGCUGACCAGGUUGAUACUAAGUUCCCAUUUUGUGAUGUCUCAGCAGAUGGCCAUAAUGGUAAAGAACCCAACUGCCAAUCCAGAAGACAUAAGAGAGCAGGUCAGAUCCCUGGGUUGAAAAGGUCCCCUGGAGGAGGGCAUGGCAACCCACUCCAGUAUUCUUGCCUGGAGAAUCCCAUGGACAGGGGAGCCUGGUGGGCUACAGUCCAUGGGGUGGCAAAGAGUCGGACAUGACUGAAGCAACUUAGUAUACCCUGUAAGUGCUCACGGUAAGUGACUCCAUUCUGGGCCUAUUUUCUUUCUUGUAAUAGGAGUCUCAGUUCGGUUCAGUUCAGUUCAGUCACUCAGUCGUGUCCAGCUCUUUGCGACCCCGUGAAUCCCAGGAUGCCAGGCCUCCCUGUCCAUCACAAACU
Molecule: long non-coding RNA, 1543 nt
Filed under: Cervus hanglu yarkandensis (Yarkand deer)
Lineage: Eukaryota; Metazoa; Chordata; Mammalia; Artiodactyla; Cervidae
Description: lncRNA (ENSCHYG00000008288.1)
Source: RNAcentral